This 334-nucleotide ribosomal RNA is filed under the name uncultured bacterium. RNAcentral describes it as "bacterial SSU rRNA". It matches the Rfam family "Bacterial small subunit ribosomal RNA", at positions 568 to 898 of the family's 1533-position model. The record is from RNAcentral.
CGUGUAGGCGGAUGGGGACGUCGGUCGCUGAAAGCCCCCGGCUCAACCGGGGGAACGGGCGCCGAAACGCCCCGUCUCGAGGGACGUAGGGGGACCUGGAACUUCCGGUGGAGCGGUGAAAUGCGUUGAGAUCGGAAGGAACGCCCGUGGCGAAAGCGAGGUCCUGGACGUCUACUGACGCUGAGACGCGAAAGCUAGGGGAGCGAACGGGAUUAGAUACCCCGGUAGUCCUAGCUGUAAACGAUGGGCACUGGGUAGGGGGCUCGCCGAUGGGCUCUCUGCCGCAGGGAAACCGUGAAGUGCCCCGCCUGGGGAGUAUGGUCGCAAGGCUGAA